RNAcentral lists this ribosomal RNA (285 nucleotides) under Escherichia coli. Its description in RNAcentral is "partial 23S ribosomal RNA". It matches the Rfam family "Bacterial large subunit ribosomal RNA", at positions 192 to 514 of the family's 2925-position model. Lineage: Bacteria; Pseudomonadati; Pseudomonadota; Gammaproteobacteria; Enterobacterales; Enterobacteriaceae. The record is from RNAcentral.
ACUGAAACAUCUAAGUACCCCGAGGAAAAGAAAUCAACCGAGAUUCCCCCAGUAGCGGCGAGCGAACGGGGAGCAGCCCAGAGUCUGAAUCAGCUUGUGUGUUAGUGGAAGCGUCUGGAAAGUCGCAGGGUACAGGGUGAUACUCCCGUACACGAAAGCACACUUGCUGUGAACUCGAAGAGUAGGGCGGGACACGUGGUAUCCUGUCUGAAUAUGGGGGGACCAUCCUCCAAGGCUAAAUACUCCUGACUGACCGAUAGUGAACCAGUACCGUGAGGGAAAGGC